AUCCCGGUCGCGGACUCCAGAGACGGAGUUCUUCAGUUCGGCUGGACCGGAGACAGGUGCUGCAUGGCUGUCGUCAGCUCGUGUCGUGAGAUGUUGGGUUAAGUCCCGNAACGAGCGCAACCCCCGUCCUUAGUUGCUACCAUUUAGUUGAGCACUCUAAGGAGACUGCCGGUGAUAAGCCGCGAGGAAGGUGGGGAUGACGUCAAGUCCUCAUGGCCCUUACGGGCUGGGCUACACACGUGCUACAAUGGCGGUGACAAUGGGAAGCGAAGACGCAAGUCCUAGCAAAUCUCAAAAAGCCGUCUCAGUUCGGAUUGGGCUCUGCAACUCGAGCCCAUGAAGUUGGAAUCGCUAGUAAUCGUGGAUCAGCACGCCACGGUGAAUACGUUCCCGGGCCUUGUACACACCGCCCGUCACACCAUGGGAGUUGGUUUUACCUGAAGACGGUGCGCUAACCGCAAGGAGGCAGCCGGCCACGGUAGGGUCAGCGACUGGGGUGAAGUCGUAACAAGGUAAGCGUAGAUGA
RNAcentral lists this ribosomal RNA (526 nucleotides) under uncultured bacterium. Its description in RNAcentral is "bacterial SSU rRNA". It matches the Rfam family "Bacterial small subunit ribosomal RNA", at positions 986 to 1509 of the family's 1533-position model. The record is from RNAcentral.